Molecule: unclassified non-coding RNA, 616 nt
Filed under: Saprolegnia sp. BMF16
Lineage: Eukaryota; Oomycota; Saprolegniomycetes; Saprolegniales; Saprolegniaceae
Description: sequence contains ITS1, 5.8S rRNA gene, ITS2
Rfam family: 5.8S ribosomal RNA (bases 141-295)
Source: RNAcentral
AUGUACUCUUUAUGAGGCUUUGCGCUGCCCUUGUGGCAGCUAGCCGAAGGUUUCGCAAGAAGCCGAUGUCAAUUUGAAUCCUUUUUAAAAUACGACUGAUCAAAACUGCAGAUAGAAAUAUCUGCAUGCAAUUGAAAUACAACUUUCAACAGUGGAUGUCUAGGCUCGCACACCGAUGAAGAACGCUGCGAACUGCGAUACGUAAUGCGAAUUGCAGAAUUCAGUGAGUCAUCAAAAUUUUGAACGCAUAUUGCACUUCCGGGUUAGUCCUGGGAGUAUGUUUGUAUCAGUGUCCGUGAACACAAACUUGUUUCAUUUCUUGAUUGGGAUGGAGCAGACUGUGAAGGUCUUGUAAUUACAAGUCCUUUUAAACGACGGUACCUAUGCGUCCUAGUGAGAUGUAUUAUUUAAAGGUAUGCCUGCGCUCCUUUCGAAAGUCUUGUGUGGCGGCACACAGCACUCAAAGAGAGAGCAAAUCGCGGUAGUUUUGCUUGUACUUCGGUACGAGUGGACACAUAUUGCUUUUUGUGAUUUCUGCGAGUCUGUUGUCAAAGUACAAGGCACGUAAGGAGAGUUGGUAUGCUGGUGCAUUUCUUGGCGUAUGGAGGCAAAUUGG